RNAcentral lists this unclassified non-coding RNA (332 nucleotides) under soil metagenome. Its description in RNAcentral is "partial contains 5.8S ribosomal RNA, internal transcribed spacer 2, and large subunit ribosomal RNA". The stretch from base 1 to 120 matches the Rfam family "5.8S ribosomal RNA", at positions 35 to 154 of the family's 154-position model. The record is from RNAcentral.
GAUGAAGAACGUAGCGAAACGCGAUAUGUAAUGUGAAUUGCAGAAUUCAGUGAAUCAUCGAAUCUUUGAACGCACAUUGCGCCCGCCAGUAUUCUGGCGGGCAUGCCUGUUCGAGCGUCAUUUCAACCCUCAAGCACAGCUUGGUGUUGGGACUCGCGUUAAUUCGCGUUCCCCAAAUUGAUUGGCGGUCACGUCGAGCUUCCAUAGCGUAGUAGUAAAACCCUCGUUACUGGUAAUCGUCGCGGCCACGCCGUUAAACCCCAACUUCUGAAUGUUGACCUCGGAUCAGGUAGGAAUACCCGCUGAACUUAAGCAUAUCAAUAAGCGGAGGA